Molecule: ribosomal RNA, 468 nt
Filed under: uncultured bacterium
Lineage: Bacteria
Description: partial 16S ribosomal RNA
Rfam family: Bacterial small subunit ribosomal RNA
Source: RNAcentral
GACGAACGCUGGCGGCGUGCUUAACACAUGCAAGUCGAACGGAAAGGCCCUGCUUUUGUUGUGUGCUCGAGUGGCGAACGGGUGAGUAACACGUGAGUAACCUGCCCUUGACUUUGGGAUAACUUCAGGAAACUGGGGCUAAUACCGGAUAUGAGCUCCUGCUGCAUGGUGGGGGUUGGAAAGUUUCGGCGGUUGGGUAUGGACUCGCGGCUUAUCAGCUUGUUGGUGGGGUAGUGGCUUACCAAGGCUUUGACGGGUAGCCGGCCUGAGAGGGUGACCGGCAACAUUGGGACUGAGAUACGGCCCAGACUCCUACGGGAGGCAGCAGUGGGGAAUAUUGCACAAUGGGCGGAAGCCUGAUGCAGCAACGCCGCGUGCGGGAUGAAGGCCUUCGGGUUGUAAACCGCUUUCGCCUGUGACGAAGCGUGAGUGACGGUAAUGGGUAAAGAAGCACCGGCUAACUACGUG